CCACACAAGCCGGUGUUGCAGGGACAAAAUUUGCAUUGAAAACAAUGGUCGAGCCACACAACACUGUCCAGCAGUGGCAGCCGCGAUGUGUCAGUCAGCUACAGUAUUGGCAGAGGACAAGGAGGGGGAGCAAGGUCCCAAUGAAAGGGCUGCAUAUAUCAACAGAGUGAGAUACCUUCAUUGGGAGCACGAAGCCACAUCAUGCUCCACAGUGAUGGGAACCAAUUCAUUAAUGUGGCUUUCACAUAAGUAGAUUACCUGUUUGGCUCGGGAACAGGAUGACAAAAAUACAGAGCUAGAAAAACAAAUUUUGGCAUCAGCGUGGAGCCUGAGAGAAGCCGAGGUGGAAGUAAGCACCAGCCACCCCAGCUGAGAGACCCUCCAAUCAAGAUGAGGAAAAUCCCAUCCAGAGAGAGAGAGAUAAAGAGAAGGGGAAGAUGCUGACAUGUCUACAGGCAACAGCAGAGAGUCCUGGUGUCAACAUGAGAGAGGGAGAAUGGAACGCCACUGAGAAGCGCGGGCGGCACACAGGUGUCAGCGAACACUUCCGCCCCAGGGCCAAUGGCGGAGUGAUGCUUACGAGACAAGGCAGAGGCGUAUAAACCUCGUCACGCGCCACAGGGGCCGCUGUUACAGUGUCGACACUCUCUCUACCUUGCCUUCCUUCUUUCUUCAUACAUUGCCUCACAGAGUGGCAGUGGACACGCAGGGAGAUACAAUUUGUGGCAUCACUGGGUGCAAGUCUCUGCUAAAGAGUCUUCUGAUGGAUGUGUAGAUGUGUUCCUUUCAUAUUCAGAUGGAAGGUCUUGAACAACAACAAAAGCAGACAAGAGUCAUUUGACUGUAAUGCUCACUAGCAAUCAUCAUAGUGUGUGUGAAUACCCAUAAAUAUGUACUUGUAAAUGUG
Long non-coding RNA from Micropterus dolomieu (smallmouth bass), 907 nucleotides. RefSeq lists it as uncharacterized. NCBI's taxonomy places the organism in Eukaryota, Metazoa, Chordata, Actinopteri, Centrarchiformes, Centrarchidae. The transcript has 5 exons. The record is from RefSeq and is a predicted model, not a curated record.